RNAcentral lists this microRNA precursor (104 nucleotides) under Nicotiana sylvestris (wood tobacco). Its description in RNAcentral is "mir-399 microRNA precursor family". It matches the Rfam family "mir-399 microRNA precursor family". Rfam says of the family: mir-399 was identified in both Arabidopsis thaliana and Oryza sativa computationally and was later experimentally verified. mir-399 is thought to target mRNAs coding for a phosphatase transporter. The mature sequence is excised from the 3' arm of the hairpin. Lineage: Eukaryota; Viridiplantae; Streptophyta; Magnoliopsida; Solanales; Solanaceae. The record is from Rfam by way of RNAcentral.
GAACCAGUUGUAGGGCAGCACUCCGUUUGGCAGAUAUUUAGUUAUCAACACGUAUUCACGUACAUUUGUUAUCUGCCAAAGGAGAGUUGCCCUAUAAUUGUUUC